This 233-nucleotide ribosomal RNA is filed under the name uncultured bacterium. Its description in RNAcentral is "partial 16S ribosomal RNA". It matches the Rfam family "Bacterial small subunit ribosomal RNA", at positions 99 to 334 of the family's 1533-position model. The record is from RNAcentral.
CGGACGGGGGAGUAACGUCUGGGGAAACUGCCUGAUGGAGGGGGAUAACUACUGAAACGGUAGCUAAUACCGCAUAACGUCGCAAGACCGAAAGAGGGGGACCUUAGGGCCUCUUGCCAUCGGAUGUGCCCAGAUGGGAUUAGCUAGUAGGUGGGGUAAAGGCUCACCUAGGCGACGAUCCCUAGCUGGUCUGAGAGGAUGACCAGCCACACUGGAACUGAGACACGGUCCAG